CCUUGUGAGAUAAAAAAAAUCCAUCAUCUCUAUCUCUUCUAUUGUAAGACGCGCUGCUAUACGGCGACAGAGAAGCGAGAGGGACAGUCUAUAGAACUGAGAGCGGCCGCGUCGCGAGAGGUGGCGACGGGGAGGCGGCGACGGUCGGUACGAAGAGGAGGUCUUUGUGCAAGAGGAGGAGAGAGAGGCAGGGGCGCGGUGCUCACGGGAUGAGAGGAAGGUCGUGGCUACGGAGAAGAGGUUGUGGGCUAAGCGGCGGCGGCGGCGGCGGCGGCACCGCCGCAGCCGAUCGGGACGGGGCAAGCGGCACCUCCUGAUGGAGCAGCGCAGAACGGUGGAGUGGGGCCGCGUCCGGCAUUUCCGGAGGUUCCAGGAGAGGGCGGAGUUCAGGGGGAGGUUCGGGCUCCGGCAGGAGCGGAAGGAGAGGCUGGAGCCGGAGAGGCUGCGGCUGCAGCGGCGGCAGCAGCACAUGCUGGGAGAGGAGGAGACGAGGCUCCAGCUGUUCUGGGAGCAGGGCGCGGAGCGGCUCGAGGCCCUGGAGCCCGAGAGGGGCAGGGUCUAGCGGGCGGAGCAGGACCAGCUGGGGCGGGCGAAGGCGGCGGGGUGGUAGUAGAGGUUCGACGUCAUGAUGCAGGGGGAGAAGCCGAGGAAGCUCUUGGAGGAGGUCCGCGAGUUCAUGUUGAGGAUGGAGGAGUCGAGGCUGGAGCUCUUGCAACAGUUCGGGUUGCAGCGCGAGGAGGCCCUCACGCCCGAUCCACUAACGCUAUAACGGUUCGAUACGUAGGGGCACGGCUCCGACGAGUGGUCGUUCGGUCUCGCGUAGGUCCGGUACCACCGCGCACGACUUCUACAGCCACACGGGGCACCGAGACGCUACAAGUCCGUGCGCGACGACCGACAGCGUAAGGAGUCGCUCCUCUUCUAACGACGAUUCCACCUCAAGGACUUCUUCUGAAAGUCCACCAGCCUUCGACUCCACCGGUAACGACAACGGUUCGAAGGACACCACGACUCCUUGAGGGUCCUCUCCGACGACGCGUACAGCCUUAAGAACUACAGGCUCCAACCCAAUCUCGGCCUCAUGUAACGAGUGUCCGGCCGUUACGAGUGAAUAUCGAAUCUCCGGGCCGAGUUUGGAGCCAUGAUACAACACUUCAAGGAAUUUCUUUUACCUAACGAUUUCGGAUUGGCUUCGAAGAUGUGGCGUCGGGUCCACUCGCUCUUCCAUAAGCACCUCUUCAAGUAUGCAGGAGUGUUCCUUCGACGCGGAGCGGAGCGACUUCUGAUACGACGGUGAGAAUUUCCCCUUCACGGGUGAUCUAAGUCUAACGUUAUUGGUUCUUGUCCGAACUUAUCAUAAAUCGACAAAAAAAAAAGUGUUACUUCAAAAGUGAGACCUCAUACGUGUCGUUCGACCGUUCAGGACAAAGACAACAAAAAGAUUGUGAGAUUGACCUACAAAUCACAGGUGAUAUCAUACGGUGAACGUCAAACCAUGAGGGAGGCAGGGUAUUACAUUCUGCAAAAAACCGAGAUGUGAUCACAGUUUUUUACAGAAUAUAAUACCCUACCUCUCUCAUCAACGAUUAUAAAAUACUUAAGCUUAUACAAAACCAGCAGUAGAUCAUCUCUUCUUUCUUUCGUACCGUGUCAAUGCUUAACCAAGAAGUAGUACAGUACAAUUAUUGAUACAAAGACUUGGACCAAACAAGUCAGACGCAAAACAUGAUUCUAGUCUGUUAAUAGUUGCAGAAAUCCAGACUAAACCCUACACUCUUAGAAGGAUAAGGAACUCCUUUAUUUGAAUGAUUACAAUUUAAGAACAACUUAGGACGUGAUGUUUGUACGGUACAUAACACAUAGUUGUCGAAGGGACCAUCAUACAUAAUGAGUAAUAAAGUUAAACGCAUACUAAAUAGAAGAGGGUAGGUGUACUUAAGCACGUGUACCUCCUAUCACAAGGCCCGGAACGACUAUGUUGCUUUCCGGUUACCUCGAAAAAACACUUUGUCGUUUUCCCUUUCUCUUUCCCCUGUGAGCAACAGCUUUCAUCAUCAUUCUUUUUUCACAAGAUUCCAAACAGUAUAGGUCCCAAGUGAGAAUGUUAGAAAAAUGCCAAAACGAUCCUCAAUAGUUAACGUCGUAAUGAUGGAUUACUUCUCAAAACGAGAUAUGUGACUGAAAGGUAGAGCUCCAUCCACAACUUAUUUUAUAAGUAUUCAUCUAAAUAACUAAACAAAGAA
RNAcentral lists this ribosomal RNA (2243 nucleotides) under Triticum aestivum (bread wheat). Its description in RNAcentral is "partial small subunit ribosomal RNA". Lineage: Eukaryota; Viridiplantae; Streptophyta; Magnoliopsida; Poales; Poaceae. The record is from RNAcentral.